AUGCCAACUACUGGACAAGAGGCGGUCACCCAACUGCAGAACAUUGCUGCUGCUUUCAAUUCCAAUAACCUUGUGUCGCAUAUGCCACCUACUGGACAAGAGGCGGUCACCCAACUGCAGAACAUUACUGCUGCUUUCAAUGCCACUAACAUAUGCUCACGUGUGCCAGCUACUGGACAAGAGGCGGUCACCCAGCUACAGAACAUCACAGGCCCAGAUGGUGCAUUACCAACUUUAGGACCAUACAAUGGAUUCAUACAAACAGACAAGGAGAAUAUUUCUGACAAUGAUGAAUCCGAUUGGCUGCACAGAAAUGAUGCGUACCAGAUGCAACGAAGUUCAAGAAGAAUGACACUCACACAACUGGCAGGGGUUGACAACCCCCAACUCAAUACAGUCGUCAAUCUACGUACCCCAGGGGUAACUUUUCAUGAUCAGGGUUAG
This 444-nucleotide ribosomal RNA is filed under the name Triticum aestivum (bread wheat). RNAcentral describes it as "partial small subunit ribosomal RNA". Lineage: Eukaryota; Viridiplantae; Streptophyta; Magnoliopsida; Poales; Poaceae. The record is from RNAcentral.